Long non-coding RNA from Nomascus leucogenys (northern white-cheeked gibbon), 668 nucleotides. RefSeq lists it as uncharacterized. The record is from RefSeq and is a predicted model, not a curated record. The transcript is spliced from 3 exons. NCBI's taxonomy places the organism in Eukaryota, Metazoa, Chordata, Mammalia, Primates, Hylobatidae.
AAAGCCCCGCUCCGCCCCCCCGCCCCGCGUUGCCUGGAGACGGCGCCCAACCUUCCUCUGCAGCGCCCCUACCGACCCGCGCUCCGCAGCUCCUGAGGGCUUUCGAGCCCAGAUGGUCAUCUGAGACGAGAGGUGGCGGCGAAGGAGUCUCGCCUGUCAGGCUCCCGGAGCAGGGGCUUCAUGAGGUGGCCAUGGAAACGGCCUGGCAGACUCCCAUCUCUCCUGGUGCCGUCUCCGGAGCGGAAAGUCGAGCACCCCGCUGGCGACCAAGGCCGCACUGAGAGCCCUGGUUUGGUCAACAGUUGGGCUCCAAGGAGCCCUGGUAUUCCUUGAACAUGCAUACCUUUCCCAGCGUGAGGGACAUGGACCGUGCCGUGCGAGGGACCCCAUCUUCUGCAGCAAGAGGGAGCAGAGAAGAGAACACAGGGAUUCCUGUUGCUAAAAGGUCUGUUUUCUCCUGCUAGCCACCCUCAUCAGCCAGAGUCCAAACCCUGACAGUGCCCAUGGAGAGAUCUGGUCCAAGGCACCAACCUCUUCCUGCUGGACUGAGAAAGAGCCUCCUACUGUGUCUCUCUUUACCUCAGCUUUUGCACACCUCCAAUAUAUUGUCCACUGAAGUCAGAAUAAUCUAAAAAUAAAGCCUGAUUACAUCAUGUGGUAUAAACUUA